AUACGGAGGGUGCAAGCGUUAUCCGGAAUCAUUGGGUUUAAAGGGUCCGCAGGCGGAUUAAUAAGUCAGUGGUGAAAUCCUCUCGCUCAACGAGAGAACUGCCAUUGAAACUGUUAGUCUUGAAUUCGGUCGAAGUAGGCGGAAUGUGUCAUGUAGCGGUGAAAUGCAUAGAUAUGACACAGAACACCGAUAGCGAAGGCAGCUUACUAGACCUGGAUUGACGCUCAUGGACGAAAGCGUGGGGAGCGAACAGGAUUAGAAACCCGUGUAGUCC
This 274-nucleotide ribosomal RNA is filed under the name uncultured bacterium. RNAcentral's name for it is "partial 16S ribosomal RNA". It matches the Rfam family "Bacterial small subunit ribosomal RNA", at positions 523 to 796 of the family's 1533-position model. The record is from RNAcentral.